This 466-nucleotide ribosomal RNA is filed under the name uncultured bacterium. Its description in RNAcentral is "partial 16S ribosomal RNA". It matches the Rfam family "Bacterial small subunit ribosomal RNA", at positions 28 to 507 of the family's 1533-position model. The record is from RNAcentral.
GAUGAACGCUGGCGGCGUGCUUAACACAUGCAAGUCGAACGGAAAGGCUCCUGCUUGCAGGGGUACUCGAGUGGCGAACGGGUGAGUAACACGUGGGUGAUCUGCCCUUCACUUCGGGAUAAGCCUGGGAAACUGGGUCUAAUACCGGGUAGGACGAUGGUUUGGAUGCCAUUGUGGAAAGUUAUUUCGGUGUGGUAUGAGCUCGCGGCCUAUCAGCUUGUUGGUGGGUUAAUGGCCUACCAAGGCGUCGACGGGUAGCCGGCCUGAGAGGGUGUACGGCGACAUUGGGACUGAGGUACGGCCCAGAAUCCUACGGGAGGCAGCAGUGGGGAAUAUUGCACAAUGGGCGCAAGCCUGAUGCAGAGACGCCGCGUGGGGGAAGACGGCCUUCGGGUUGUAAACUCAUUUCGCUAGGGACGAAGCGCAAGUGACGGUACCUGGAGAAGAAGCACCGGCUAACUACGUG